AAAAGGAAACUUCCCCUGCUUUUGGCCAGGGGUUAUGGGUGAUGUGGCCUCAGCAGGAUGCUGGUGAUGGUGGUGUCAAAUGAAGAAACCAAGCGAAUAGGAUGAAGAGCCAGCUGAGAGUCUGUCCAGGGGAGAACCAAACCCAGAGAAGCUUCUUUUCUUCUUUGUUUCAAUCACGUCAUUCUCCAGAGACACAAGUUCAUCAAGAAGUAAGAGUUUUGCUGCCAGGUCAGUGGCCGACUUCUCUUCUCUGACUGUGGGUGAUGACUGAACACCUAAGACUCCAGAAUCAAAGGCCUAUUGGGCAAGAAAGAUAGUGAAACAGUAUGCACAAUACCGGACACCGGCAUCUCGUCCGAGGCUGUGGGAAUCAUGAACUCCUUCAUCAACGACAUUUUCCAGCACACCCAGCGCACCCAGCCGCACCGCUGGCGAGGCAUCGCACCUGGCGCAUUACAACAAGUGCUCGACUAUCCAGACCGCCCUGCGCUUGCUGCUACCUGGGGAGCUGGCCAAGCACACCGUGUCCGAGGGCCCUAAGGCUGUCACCAAGUAUACCAGCUCCAAGUAAAUAUAAUAUGCCUAGCCACUGUUAAUGGAGAAGGCAAUAGC
This is a long non-coding RNA of Bubalus bubalis (water buffalo), 612 nucleotides long. RefSeq lists it as uncharacterized. The transcript has 3 exons. NCBI's taxonomy places the organism in Eukaryota, Metazoa, Chordata, Mammalia, Artiodactyla, Bovidae. The record is from RefSeq and is a predicted model, not a curated record.